GCUUGCAAUUAGUCUUAAUCCUGAAAUUUAUGCUAAAAUAACCUUUAAGCUGUAUACCUGGUCAACUGACAGGUUUCUGGACGCGGGUUCAACUCCCGCCGUCUCCACCAAUAGGGCAUUGGAUUUAUCUAAGUAGUGCUUUAUUGAUGGGGACGUAUUGGUUUCGACAGGGGCAAAUAGGAAGAUUGGCAGCCGGUAGGCGAUGACCGUAAAUCAAGCAAAUUCUAUAAAUGCAAAUGACGAAAGUUACGCAUUAGCCGCCUAAUAACAGGCCGCUAGGAGCAUGAUCCACUUGGCAACAGAACGGAUUAAAAGGCUGCUUCGGCAGCCUUUUUCU
This 337-nucleotide transfer-messenger RNA is filed under the name Pelistega sp. It matches the Rfam family "Betaproteobacteria transfer-messenger RNA". From Rfam's summary of the family: Bacterial tmRNA, also known as 10Sa RNA or SsrA, is named for its dual tRNA and mRNA-like properties. Its role is to liberate the mRNA from a stalled ribosome. To accomplish this part of the tmRNA is used as a reading frame that ends in a translation stop signal. Lineage: Bacteria; Pseudomonadati; Pseudomonadota; Betaproteobacteria; Burkholderiales; Alcaligenaceae. The record is from RNAcentral.